GGGUAUUAACCAUGAAGUCUUCUUCACUGCUUAAAGUGCUUUACAACCAAAAGGCCUUCUUCACACACGCGGCAUGGCUGGAUCAGGGUUGCCCCCAUUGUCCAAUAUUCCCCACUGCUGCCUCCCGUAGGGCA
This 134-nucleotide ribosomal RNA is filed under the name uncultured bacterium. Its description in RNAcentral is "partial 16S ribosomal RNA". The record is from RNAcentral.